CCUACGGGGGGCUGCAGUGGGGGAUAUUGGACAAUGGGGGAAACCCUGAUCCAGCGACGCCGCGUGAGUGAAGAAGUAUUUCGGUAUGUAAAGCUCUAUCAGCAGGGAAGAAAGAAAGGACGGUACCGGAGUAAGAAGCCGCGGCUAACUACGUGCCAGCAGCCGCGGUAAUACGUAGGGGGCAAGAGUGAUCCGGAAUUACUGGGUGUAAAGGGAGCGUAGACGGUAAUGCAAGGCUGGAGUGAAAGGCGGGGGACCACCACCCGGACUGCUCUGGAAACUGUGUAACUGGAGUGCAGGAGAGGCAUGCGGCAUUCCUAGUGUCGCGGUGCAAUGCGUCGCUAUUAGGAGGCACACCAGUGGCGAAGGCGGCCUGCUGGACUGUACCUGCCGUUGAGGCUCGAUAGCGUGGGGAGCAAACAGGAUUAGAUACCCUUGUAGUC
Molecule: ribosomal RNA, 443 nt
Filed under: uncultured bacterium
Lineage: Bacteria
Description: partial 16S ribosomal RNA
Rfam family: Bacterial small subunit ribosomal RNA
Source: RNAcentral